This 580-nucleotide ribosomal RNA is filed under the name uncultured bacterium. RNAcentral describes it as "bacterial SSU rRNA". It matches the Rfam family "Bacterial small subunit ribosomal RNA", at positions 102 to 694 of the family's 1533-position model. The record is from RNAcentral.
ACGGGUGAGUAACACGUGAGUAACCUGCCCUUGACUCUGGGAUAAGCCUGGGAAACUGGGUCUAAUACCGGAUAUGACCUUCCAUCGCAUGGUGGUUGGUGGAAAGCUUUUGUGGUUUUGGAUGGACUCGCGGCCUAUCAGCUUGUUGGUGGGGUAAUGGCCUACCAAGGCGACGACGGGUAGCCGGCCUGAGAGGGUGACCGGCCACACUGGGACUGAGACACGGCCCAGACUCCUACGGGAGGCAGCAGUGGGGAAUAUUGCACAAUGGGCGCAAGCCUGAUGCAGCGACGCCGCGUGAGGGAUGACGGCCUUCGGGUUGUAAACCUCUUUCAGUAGGGAAGAAGCCGUAAGGUGACGGUACCUGCAGAAGAAGCGCCGGCUAACUACGUGCCAGCAGCCGCGGUAAUACGUAGGGCGCAAGUGUUAUCCGGAAUUAUUGGGCGUAAAGAGCUCGUAGGCGGUUUGUCGCGUCUGCCGUGAAAGUCCGGGGCUCAACUCCGGAUCUGCGGUGGGUACGGGCAGACUAGAGUGAUGUAGGGGAGACUGGAAUUCCUGGUGUAGCGGUGAAAUGCGCAGA